GACGAACGCUGGCGGCGUGCUUAACACAUGCAAGUCGAACGGAAAGGCCCUGCUUUUGUGGGGUGCUCGAUUGGCGAACGGGUGAGUAACACGUGAGUAACCUGCCCUUGACUUUGGGAUAACUUCAGGAAACUGGGGCUAAUACCGGAUAGGAGCUCCUGCUGCAUGGUGGGGGUUGGAAAGUUUCGGCGGGUGGGGAUGGACGCGCGGCUUAUCAGCUUGUUGGUGGGGUAGUGGCUUACCAAGGCUUUGACGGGUAGCCGGCCUGAGAGGGUGACCGGCCACAAUGGGACUGAGAUACGGCCCAGACUCGUACGGGAGGCAGCAGUGGGGAAUAUUGCACAAUGGGCGGAAGCCUGAUGCAGCAACGCCGCGGGCGGGAUGACGGCCUUCGGGUUGUAAACCGCUUUCGCCUGUGACGAAGCGUGAGUGACGGUAAUGGGUAAAGAAGCACCGGCUAACUACGUG
Molecule: ribosomal RNA, 468 nt
Filed under: uncultured bacterium
Lineage: Bacteria
Description: partial 16S ribosomal RNA
Rfam family: Bacterial small subunit ribosomal RNA
Source: RNAcentral